UGCACUGGCUCAGGGAGAAGCACAAAGCUAAAGCAUAAGUAUCAUUUCAAGUGCUCAUAACACCUUAAGAUCAUCAAAUUUUAUAAUUGGAUGUAUAUUGAUGAAACUUGCAUAAUUUGUGUUCUCCAUAAUCAUUUUGAUGUCCAUUUCUGCGAGUUUUAUUUGAUUAUAUAAGUAGUCUAAUCGAUUAGACUACUCUCUUUGUUUGCUGAAAUUGUGUUCUAUGAGUGAUUUAAUUUGUUAUGUUAAAAUGCUAAUCAAUUAAAUCAAUUCUAGAAAGGGUUUUCUCAUUUUCAAACUGGUUUCCCUCUUUAUUUAAUCAAUUAGAGAGAAACCCUAAUAUGUUAAAUUGUUCCUCCCUCUUUCUAGUUUUUAAAUCUCCAAAACCUCUUUCAAUCUUCAAAUCUCUCCAUACGUUCUCUGCUCCUCCUACUUACACAACAUCCACAUCUAAGCUGAAACGCAUCAAGAGAGUAGCACACAAAGCUCACACCCCU
This 497-nucleotide long non-coding RNA is filed under the name Vigna radiata. Its description in RNAcentral is "long non-coding RNA (VRAD_LNC006837)". The record is from RNAcentral. Lineage: Eukaryota; Viridiplantae; Streptophyta; Magnoliopsida; Fabales; Fabaceae.